Molecule: long non-coding RNA, 4108 nt
Filed under: synthetic construct
Description: ncORF75B-AS01
Source: RNAcentral
GCAAGAGGCGUUUUUCUUGAGAGGCAUGCACUCUAAGGGAUCAAUCUUGCAAUCAUACAUGGUUUUAUCUGCAGUAAUAUUCAGUAUGUUCAGGUUUAACAGAAUUUGCAUGCCAAGCUGGUCAAAUCCUAGCAUGAAGGUGUCUGGGCGCCUACAGAAGGCGGACAACUUACUGACCACCGUGUGGCUCUCAGUAAAGCGGGUUGCUGCUGCUAACACUCCUCCAUGUUCAUGAAGAGUGCACAUAGAUCCAGUAAAGACUAUGCCACAGAACCUAUCCAAGGAUGUCUCAAAAUCAUGCAAGCAAGAGGAAUGGACAAUCUCUGGAAGAAAUCCAGCAUACUGUAACAUAAACAGUGUGCCCUCUAGAGAGGUCUGUCCGUUGAACUCUAUCACACACACGCGUUUCUGUGCAUGGGGUGGUGCUCUGAAAGAUCUCACUGGAGAUGUUAAAAAGUACCUAGAUACUCCAGGAAAAUUAAACUGGUUGUGUCCGUAUUCAAUGGCAUAAAUGGACCUACGAGGUCCGAGGUGGGUGCACAGCAGGGUUGACUCAUCAACAUGUCUUCUGCGCCAACAUCCAACUACAUUGAAAAAUGGAACAGAUAGAAGAUUCUCUGACUUGUGAAAAACAGAAAAUGUGGAUGACUCAGUUAAUGGGACCACACGACCGAUAGGCAUGGCAACACAGCUGUUUUCUUGAAGGAAGGUUAAAAUGGCGUCUGUGGAGUCAUUGUCAACCUCAAUCACAUAUCCUGGAGUUUCAGAAAGAAGCAUUGCUUUUGGAUUAGCAAUAUGGUCUGGCAGUGUCAUGACUACAGAUUUUCCUCCAGACAUGGCCAUUUCUGCCACACAUGUCAAAAGUCCUCCGUCACUAACAUCAUGGAUGCUUCUAAUUUUAUCUUGUUCAAAAAGUUUUUGGGUAUUAGUUAGCAACUUGAAUAGGGCAUUAACAGAUAUUUGUGGUAGGCGGUGAAUUGGCACGUGAGGAUUGAAAGUCUUGAAAAUAGAACCUGCCAGUGUUGGUUGACUGUGUAUUGGUAACCACAACAAUGUGUUGUGAUGUUCUUUUAAAUUGGGUCCUAUUCUUCCUCUCCAGGGAAAAUCCACUAUGCAUUUAGCAGAGAACACAAUGAGUGGACUGUUUAUGUCACAGUUUCUAGGAUUUUUGGCAGCCAUGUCACACAUAAAAGUACAUCCCAUCAUUGUACACAUGUUUUUACAUUCUGCAAUGGCAUCGUAUAGUUCUGAAUGUGCCACGUCAGCUUGACUGCAGGUAACUGAGCAAGUUAUUAUUGUUUUUUCAAGUGUUGCACCAGGGCAGGUGUUCAGAUUUAGUAAGGCUUCCACUAAGCCAUAGGUGGACCCCAAGAUGGGAUCCUCUUUAACCUUGUAAUGCUGCUCACCAAUAGCAGAGGCUACACAUUCUAGUCUUGGAACAUCGGAAGUAGAUGGAUCACAGAACCAGAUGUCUGGAUCGGACAUUAUCCUGUUGACCAUCUCCGAAGAAGUAACAACUGUUAGGUCAGAGGUCCAACUUUUAGUGUUAUGUAUACUGUUUAAGGACACAAGUGAAUGAUCAGCCACUGGAAAGUCAAAGGGGCCACACCCUGGUUGUUGAACAACUCUUCCAUUAGCAACCCUCCUGAUAUGUGUAAGGAUGUAUUCCUUGCUUUCAACCGCUGGAUGAGUAAUGAUGUCAGACCACACCUGUCUCAGAUUUAGAGAAGCCCAGUUGAGGGCGCCAUCUUCUCUAGAGGGGCGUGGCGCUGACGCGGCAAGACCUCCUGUUUGACCAUGAUCAUAGUCUAGUGGAAUGGUUAGCAUAAUGUCAGCGGUGUCAUAUGUCACAGCAACUGGAUUUGAUGUGGAUGAUAUUAUAUGCAGAUUGGGUUCAGUGCAACACUUGCCCACGAUGGAGCAUGCAACUUCAUAUUUGGCACAUAGGUUAAUUAGAUGUUCUAUGGUACCAACAGACUCUUGUGUUUCUUGAAUGGUUCCAGUUUCAUUCUGGACAAGUAAGAAUACUUGAUCUGUUGUCACAUUAAGGAAUUUAGUCCUGAUUCCUCUUUCCAAUUCCUCCUGAGUUCUGUUUCUCAGACCAUGACAUACUGGAUCUGGCAAAUCAUUGAUGUCAAUUAAUGCUCCCAUGGGAGAUAACAGUUCAGUGAGUAUUUCUUGGAUGGAGCACCUGACCUGUGGCAUCAUGGACCGGAUGUAACAGGCGUGAGAAAGGUCUUUGGUCCAUUCUUGUAAUACUCUUGUGAGCUUUCUAACAGUUAAUGGGCUGCUGUCAUAGCCAUAUGGGGGGCCGUCUGGGCGAUAGAGGGGACAGAAACUUCCAACAGCAACAAUGAAGGUAUUGCAGGGGUCUGCAGGUCGGUUAUGGGAGACAUAGUCAUCUUUAGAUAACUUACUUAUAAAAUUGACAAAAUUGACUUCUGUUGGGAAGGUUAGUUGGUUAGAAGAGAUUGGGCGAAUAAACCCCCCAGUCACUGGAACACCAGAUGCUCUAAGAUGGUCUGAUCUGGCUUUGAGGAGCAUGGUAAGUAUGCAUGGGGCGAGUGGAUUAUCCCCCACAGUCUGAUUGCAGAUGAGAUAGGAGCCACCGUUGAUUGCUACAGGGAUGACUCCUGGCAUGUUACUAAUGGAUGACAGGUUGGCAUGUAAGAAAUUUCCUGGUCCUGUAAUUGUGGUGUGGUGGCAGGUGGCCAUUUCACUUCCUGUUAGUUUUAUCAUGGUAGGUACAGCUUCUGGAAAGGUUGAGAGGCUGUUCGCGUAGGUGGUACGCCCAAGCCCUUGGGCCAACAUAAUGUUUGCGUGGACAGCAUCUGGUUCUGAGGACAGGACAGUGGGGCUAGUCAGGCGACUGGAGGGUUCGAAGGUAGAUAGGUGGUCAUAUUCCAGCUGUGUACGCUCUCUGCCAUAUAUGAACCAGUACAGUAGUUCUAUCAUUACAAGUAUGGCGGCGUUUGGUUGGGUAUAGAUUCCACAUAUCCUCCUAGAAUAGUCCAUUCGCGUGGUUCCCAUAGGAAGAAUAUAUCCCAGGAGUUCUGUCAGUUCAUUGCACCAGGUCAGGGGCCGUUGCCCAGGGAAGGGUCCAUAAAUAAAAUCUAGCCGCUGGGCAUCGCCAUGCCCAUCAUCUGGGGGCUCUCUGGUGCUAUCAAGCGUGAGAUCGCUGCAGGUGAGGCGUGCUGCCACCUGUAUCCAUCGCCUAAUUCGUCUCGAGCUGGCACGCCCAUUCCUGGUCCGACUGUUCCUUAUAGUCAAGGUGAGGACACCGCAUAUACUGGUGCUUCGGAGAGGAAAGUGAAUUGUUCUUGACAGUAUUAGUCUGUUAAGGACAUGUUCCUCCAAUGUGGUCCUGGCCCUGGCAUAGACUUGGAUUGCCCAGACGUCCUCAUCCAUUUCUGUGGUGUUUAAUGUUUAAGUGUAAAGGUCUGGAUUUUGGAAAGUCCCACCUAAGCCGAGGAGGGUCGAGGAAUAUUGAUUUUUGUAGACUCUAAUAUUGCAAAUCAGACACAGGUUGUCCUUAUCAGGUUUCUCUUGCUGCCAGUGCCCAUAAGAGCAGGUGGUGCAGACACUGUCUCCAGGGACUCUCUUGUGCCUCCUGGUCGUCUAGGUGUUGCCAUUGGUGCAAGUACAGCGAGUCUGUGGGGUUAAACACCAUAGUGCAUGCUCUCCCAUCAUAACUGCAGAGUGCAGCUACGUUAGUGCCGCCAGAGGGGUUUCUAGGAUAGUAUGUGGCGGGGGCGGUUCCAUCUGCAGUUGCAAACCUGGCAGCAAUCAGCCCAGGGCUAAGUGUAUCACCUGAAGACGAAGAGGAAAUGUCAAUCCCCAAGUGGGUACCGCAUGCCCAGGCCGGACAAGCUGAGCCAUGCAAGGGUCUAAAGAAGAUGCUGUUCGAGGGGGGUAGCGACACAUUCAGCCAAAGACUCUGCAGAAGAGGUACCUUGUUUGCUGUAAGACGAGGCCUGUUAAUCAGUUCCUCCAACUCUGUGGCGAUGAAGGGGCGAUCACACCUCCAUUCUGUUAAGUUAAGAGCAAGGAGUACUUGGGUGGCAAACUCUCCAAAUCCUAGAAUAAAAGUGUGUUUUUGCUGAUAAAA